This 378-nucleotide ribosomal RNA is filed under the name uncultured eukaryote. RNAcentral describes it as "partial 18S ribosomal RNA". It matches the Rfam family "Eukaryotic small subunit ribosomal RNA", at positions 592 to 976 of the family's 1831-position model. The record is from RNAcentral.
CAAUAGCGUAUAUUUAAGUUGUUGCAGUUAAAAAGCUCGUAGUUGGAUUUCGGGUGGGACGCAGCGGUCUCGCAUUGCGUUUGUACUGCUGCAACCCUCCUUCUUGCCGGGGGCGGCCUCUCGGACUUCACUGUCUGGGGGUCAGAAUCGGCGAUGUUACUUUGAGUAAAUUAGAGUGUUCAAAGCAAGCUUACGCUCUGAAUAUAAUAGCAUGGGAUAACACGACAGGACUCUGGCCUAUCGUGUUGGUCUAUAGGACCAGAGUAAUGAUUAAGAGGGACAGUCGGGGGCAUUCGUAUUCCGUUGUCAGAGGUGAAAUUCUUGGAUUUACGGAAGACGAACAUCUGCGAAAGCAUUUGCCAAGGAUGUUUUCAUUGA